Molecule: long non-coding RNA, 743 nt
Organism: Athalia rosae (coleseed sawfly)
Lineage: Eukaryota; Metazoa; Arthropoda; Insecta; Hymenoptera; Athaliidae
Exons: 3
Source: RefSeq, a predicted model, not a curated record
CUACACACGAGCUUACCAUUUCAAACCGUCAAGACUCUUUUCUCCUUCCUUCUCUCUAUUCACAUUCGAUACUUUGAUGUAACGGCUAGGUUGUUGCUGUUUGUAAUGGUGCUCGCACUACCGUAUUAAUGAGAAAAUAUCACUCACCCUGUUGCUCCUGAUUCAACUCCGACCCAUGCGAAGUCCCUGCGAUUCCUCCGUCGAUUCCGCUUCCUGAAACAUGAAAAAUACGUUGAGUAGUAUUUUUCCGUUACUCACCUUGAUAAGAUGGUGGAUACGUCGGAAGUACUUCCAUGCCUCCUUCCAAGCUGAGAAACCCGCCUGGCAAUGCAUUGAUUUCUGGUUUGUUGGGGCAGUCGUCAUCGCUGCCAUAUUCUGGUAAUUCUAUUUUUGGCUGAAAACGAUGAGCAAAGUCCUUGUAAUCGAGUUGAACAUGAGGUUCAACUGGCGGACGAGAACGUUGAGUUGAGGUGGUGCCUGAGGGUGGCGUAGAUAUUGGACUAGAGUUUUGAGGUGAAUCACUUCGUUUACACAGCCUUUUUAAUGGCGGCGGACUCGUUGCCGGAGGCGUCCUACUGCGUUCAUCAUCCAAGCUUGGUGAGAUCAGGCCACUGCCGUUUGAUGCAUGGAUAUUGUUAGUCUUUGAGUGCUGCAGAUAAAUUCAUAAUUUUAUAGGUAAGCGGAAAUUACUAUUAUUUAGGUUCAAUAAAUUGAGAACUAUCAUUGAUUUCAAUGACAAUGAA